RNAcentral lists this long non-coding RNA (6458 nucleotides) under Carica papaya (papaya). RNAcentral's name for it is "long non-coding RNA (CPAP_LNC003798)". Lineage: Eukaryota; Viridiplantae; Streptophyta; Magnoliopsida; Brassicales; Caricaceae. The record is from RNAcentral.
UUGGAAUCUCUUGAAUGCAAACUUCUUUAUUAGAUUUGCCUAUUGUAAAAAAGACAACAAAGUUAAAGCACUAUAUAAUGAAGAAAUUACCAUGAAAAAAUAAAAUUUAAAAUUUUCAUUAACUUGUAAAUAGUUAUUCGUUAGGAGAAUUGAAUACAAUUUUUUUGUGAAAACAAUCUACGGUGGCGUGGUACGACACUAGCCAGUUCAUUCCCAAGAUUACAUCAAAGUUCCCCGUGUUAAUCUUUAUCAAGUCCACACUCAAUUUUCCAUCUGCUAUAUCUAUGAUAUAACAUUUAUAUAUAACAUUUCCUAGUAGUGUCCUACUUCCAAUAAUAGAUACAAACAACAUAAAAUCAAAUCUUUCCGGUGAUAUAUUUAAGUUUUGUGUAAAAAUGUGUGAGACAAACGAAUGUGAAGCACCAAUAUCAAUCAAAACAUGUGCAAUUGUGAACUAACCAGUUCCAGCUCUAUUAGUAACUUAUAAUUAUUUUUAAAGUUUUCUAAUUUUUCACAAAAAUACAAAAUUAUACAUCAUUAAAGCUCAAUUUACUGUAACAGAGAGAAAGAUGAGGGAUUCUUACCUACAUCGGUGUUUCGAGACAUCAAGCUGUCUAUUACGCUUCCUAACGGGUACCGAGUUCCUUAAAUUUUUUUUUUAUAGAAUUCAAAACACUCGUUAGAUACAUAAAAAUACUCCAAAAAAUUAAAAAUUGAUGUCCAAAACUCAUUCCGACUAAUUUUGGGGUUCUGGCAUGACGUUGCCGUCGUGUUCCAGCGCCCACGGCGACGGUUCGCUUCGGCCUGACUAGUUUUGGUUGUAUCCUUGUAGAAAAAUAUGUUAAGGGCCUCGAUUGGCCAGAAAAUCACAAAACAAUCGAAUCUACCGGCAUGGAGGACCUCUGGGUGCAGCGGCUCCACCGAUUCUCCUUCGCAGUUGAGAUUCUUUCUUCGGCUACCCUGCACCGAAAAAGACGGUGAACACAAUGAUUGAAAGAUCACAUGAAAUGAAAAUCGAGAAGGGACUCAUAGAGGGAUUUUGAAGUUUUAGUCGUCGCGGCUCCGCCAAGUUUUGCCCACGAUUUCCAACUCACCCGCCAUCUCUCUUACUCCAAUUUAGCCACAAGGGUACUCGGAAUCAAAUUCCAAGCGGAUAGGGAGAAUUUUUAUCUUUUUUGGCGGUCCGUGGUGGCUCUGGUGCAGCGGCUGUGCGACGGAUUUGCAGUCGACCUCCUUCUCUAACAUCUAGUUCUUCUUCUCCAGCAGGGACUGACAGUUAGAGUUCAGAUUCUCGUGUGAUGCGAAAUAUUUUUAACCAUCCCGCGUUGAUUUGGAUCGUCCAUCGCGAUCGAUCCCGUUCGUCCGAUCGCGCCGAAUGAGGAAACGAAUUUGAACCGUUCAUCGUGAUCAAUAUCGAUUGUCUGGUCGCACCUCACGAAAAAAUAAAUCCGGACCGUCCACACGCGCGUGAUCGCUCUUGGACCGUCCAAUUGCAAGGCACACAGAUCACCAACGUGACCUCCCGCGUAGCACCGACGUCAGCGCACCUUACCACGUGGCGCGUUCGGGUUCGUCGAGACUACUAACUGGGCGGUCCUACGUGACCGAACUUUUUCUAUUUGCACUUUGACACUCUGUUUCUAAUUUUUCUUUCAAAAACAUUUCUAAACCCAUGUUUUCACCAAUUUUUCUUAAAAUUGUUUUUAAUAUUAUUUUUAAUUAAUUUUUUCUCAAAAUUUCAAUUAAAUAAAAAUAAAAUAAAUUAAUCAAUUAUAUUAAAUUAAUAAUUAAAAAAUAAAAACUUUAUCUCGGGUCGUUCUUCAAGCCUGGGUAUUACACAUACUCUGCCAUUACCAUACAACACUACAUCAAUGAACCACCUUGUAAGUUAUCUAAACGAGUCCUUAAAGAUUGAAUGGUAACGAAUAACAGAAAAAUAGUUAAAUCAAUUCUAAAGCAGGAAGUGCAAGAAUAUUUACCUGUAAAUUUUGAUUGGAAAGGCAACCGUGAACUAAAUCCAAUCUUCGUUUCUCUCUUGUGCCUCCUUUUGUGUUGUGAUAGUUUUUUCGUGGUUCUCAUCUCUAUAUUUCUUAAACAUAUGACUUGUAUUAGAGCUAGUUGGGAUCCAUGGGAAUUUUUGACAGUACUCGAUUCCAAGAAUCCAAGAAAAUGAAGUGAUGAAGCAAGUACAAGAUAUGGACAGGAGGUUGGAUUAGGAUAUGGGAAAUUUGAAGCAAAAACUUCGAGGAAUGAAACAAGAAUUAGGAGACAUGAAAAAAUUAUUGGCAAUGUUAGUAACACAAUGGACAACCGAACCUGAAGGAUGAUUGGAUCAUAGCAACAAAAAAAAAACAAGAAAAGUAGAAUGAGUUAAACAAGGAGAUUAAGAGUAAAGCUGGAUUUUUCAUGAUUUGAUGGGGAACAUUUUAAAGGCUGGCGAUACAAGGUGGAAAGAUACUUUGAAAUUGAUAAAAACAGCGUAGAUUUAAAGGUAAAAUUGGUUUCUUUAUUUUUGGAAGAUGGUGCACUUGAGUGGCAUCAGACCUUAACGGAAAAAUAAAGGGGUCAUGGCUUAGUUGGAAAGAAUAUAUUGAAAGCUUGGAAGUCAUCUUUGGAGAAACUGCAUACAACGACCCCAUUUAGAGCUAACCAUGUUGAGGCAGGAAGAAUCUAUAGAAAAAUACUUCAAGCAAUUUAAUAUGUUAGUGAGCCGAGUUGACCUCAUUAACGGAUAAUAAAUCAGCUUUUUCAUCAUAGGAUAGAAAAACAGAGUUGAAAGUGCUUGUGAGAGCUCCUAGCACCUUACAACAAGAACAGAGGGUUGGAAAAUUGCAAGAAUUUCUGGUUGCCAUGGACUGAAGCCUUAAAGCCUCCAUGACCAGAUACCUAUCAUAUAAAGAACAUGUUAAGUGGAGACAACCUAGUUCCACCUAUAAGAUACUUAGUACCUGGUCCCUCAUAUAAACAUUAUCCUAUAAAAAAAAAUCAGUCCCAACCCAAACCGACUGCCACUCAAGCAAAGGCCUUUAAAACAACCCACAACUAACCAAAAUUUUCAACCAACACAAAAAGCACAACUGGAUUAUUACCCACCACCCCAAAUACCAGAACUUUGAAGUUAAGCCCUCAUGCAUUGGGGGAAAAAUACUUAAAAGGAGUCGGCUACUUAUGUGAUGAGAAAUACUAUGUGGGCCACAAAUGCAAGAAUUAAAAACUGUAGAAACAGUACAUGAAGAGAAGAAGAAGAAUCAGGGAACAAUCAGAACCAGAAGGGAUAAAAGAGGCAAAAAAAAAAAGAUAAGAUAAGCAACCAUACACCUCCAUGCAUACCAUAAUGGGGAUUUACAGGCUGAAAAUUCAAUAAGCUCCAUGCGAGUUAAAGGAAGGAUAGGGAGAAGGGAAAUUCACAUGUUAAUUGAUUCAGGCAGCAGUAACAAUUUCCUUGAGGUUGCAGUUGCUAAGGAAUUAACAUAAUGUGGUCACCACCAAGCCAAUGUUAAUUCAAGUAGCCAGUGGAUACAUUAUACAAUGCAGACAAUACAACAAAGACCUAUAGUAGAGUAUGCAAGGAGAGAAGUAUCAGGCAACUUCUUUUAUUGUACCACUCGGAGGAGACAAAGCUGUGUUAGAAAUCAGUGAUUAACCAAACUGGAUGAUAUAGUUUGUAUCUCUAAGCAGCUAACAAUGAUACAUAAGAAAGAAGAACAGUGGGAAAGGCUUGAAGGAGAAAAGGAAACAACAAUCAAACAGGUCUUUGAAGUAAAGAUGAUGAAAUUAAUAAGAGGUCUACUAGCUCAGUUAUGGAGCAUUAAAACCAAUUUCACCACUGGCAGACUCGCCUAUGAAAUCCAUAGUCAACCACAACAUUUUUAACUCAAGUACAGCUGAUCCUCGAUCAGUUUGAAGAUGUUUUUGAUACUUCAACCAUCCUACUUCUACAUUGCAACCAUGACCAUCAAAUCUGACUUACAAAUCCUAACAAGACAGUAAACAUAAGGCCCUACAAGCACUCCAAAGAGUAGAAAGAUGUUAUUGAAUAGAUGGUGAGGAGUACUAGAAUCAGGGAAAGAGAGACUGGAAUAAACGGACAACAUAAAACCUAUUACAUGGGUAGCAAAAGAUUCAUCAGAAAUCAUGGCAGCAUUAAACCCCUUAGUAAUAUGCUCAAAGAAGGACACUUCAAAUGGAAAGAUGCAGCAGUUCGAGCAUUUGAAGAAUUGAAGGACAAAAUUACCAUAGUACCAAUUCUGACGCUUCCCAACUUUAAUGAACAGUUUGUGGUCAAAACAGAUGUCUCUUAAGAAGGCAUGGGAGCACUGUUAACGCAAAAGGCCACACCAUAGCUUUUAUCAGCUAAGCUUUUCAGGUUGAACACUUUUAUUAUUUGUUUAUAAAAAAAGAACUCAUGGCUCUUGUCUUUGCAGUUUCCAAGUGGCAACAUUACUUGAUGGGUAGGAAAUUCCUUGUCCUAACAAAUCGUUAUAACCUUAAAUAUCUAGUCCAGAGAAUGACAACUAUAACACAGCUCCGGUGGCUAUCCAAAUUUAUGGGCUUUGACUAUGAAAUUGCAUAGAAAAGGGAAAAUAAAAUAAGGUGGCAGAUGCACUUUUCUUGGAAACUCUUCAUGGAGAUAAAGCAAACAAAUUUCCCUAUUCACAACAAAAUUAAUUCAAGAGGUUCAACCAAGUUACCAAGAAGAUUUGGUAGUACAAAGAAUCCUGACCAAGCUGAACCAAGAACAAACCGGCCAGUCUUCAUUCAUUAUGCAAGAUGGAAUUUUAUGGAAGAAAGGCUGCCUGGUAAUCAGCUCUAAUAUGGCACUUCUGAACAAAAUCAUCAAUUAGUUUCACACGAAGCCAGUGGUUACUCACUCAGGGGUUCAAGCUACCUUUAAAAGAGUAUCUUUACUCUUUUUAUUGGAGGGGCAUGGAAAAGGACAUGCACAACUGCAUUUGCAAUGUGAUACUGGUCAAUGUUAUGAGACAAUUGCUGCCAUAACCUUUACGGUUACAGCAAUUACAAAUCCUUCGCAGUCCCAAGUCAGGAGUUUCCAUGGACUUUAUUGAGGGGUUUCCUCAAUCACAUGGGAAGAAUUCCAUCGAGGUAGCUGUUGACGGACUCACCAAAUAUUCCAAUUUCAUAGCCCUCACACACCUUUAUUCAGUUCACACAGUGGCCAAGAUCUUCAUGGACACUAUUUUUUGCCUCAUGGGUGUCUAGAAACGAUAGUCAGUGACCGAGACAAUAUUUUCAUCAGCACUUUUUGGCAAGAGUUGUUCUAGCUUCAAGGAGUGGAACUUGCUACUCCCACUGCACACCAUCCAUAAAUGGAUGACCAAACAGAAGUUGUAAAUCGAUGCUUGAAAACAUAUUUGAGGUGUACGUAACAUGAACAGCCUUCCAACCGGUCCCAAUGGCCCCUGAUAGCAUAAUAUUAGUACAAUACCAAUUUUCAACCUCUAUACAAACUGCACCUUUUGAAGCUCUAUACGGGUAUUUGCCACCUGUACAUGUUCCUUAGGUAUCGGACAACUCUAUUACACACAGCUUGGAAACAUUUCUACAAGAAAGGGAAGCUACUCUACAGCUUCUCAAAUUCCAUCUAUCAAGGGGACAACAAAGGAUGAAACAACAAAUUGACAAACGUCGCACAGAUAGGGAAUUUCAACUGGGGGACCACGUCUACUUGAAGAUUCAACUUUACUGACAGUAAACCAUAGCCCUUUGAUCUAAUUCAAAGCUUGACUCCAUUUACAAAGUGUCCCUUCUUAAUCCUCUAUAAAGUGGGCAAGGUUGCUUACAUGUUCCAACUGUCGCAGGGUAGCAAGCGUCACCUCGUAUUCUAUGCGUCAUAACUUAAAACGCAUCCUUGCCAGUUUCCUUAUCACAGAUUAACAAGCCUACGGUGAAGCUCCAAAUCCAAUGGUCAGGCGGUCACAGUCCUACUUAGGAAGAUGCAGGUCACGUAAACCCAAAUUUUCCAGGAUUUUCCCUCAAGGACAAGGGACUGUAAAGAGGAGCUAUGAUAUGUUUAAAAUAGCUAGGGUUUCAAUUUAGGGAUUCGAUUGGGUAAUUAGGAAUUGAAUUUAAAUGAUUGCUACCAUUAGGGAUUAGACCGUAAGAAAUAACAAAAGAAUAGUUAAAUCAGUCGUAAAGCAGGAAGUGCAAGAAUGAAUACCUGUAAAUUCCAAUUGAAAUGGCAACCAUGAACGGAACAUAAUCUUUGUUUUUUCUCUCGCGUCUCUCUCUGUGUUGUAAUAAUACUUUUGUGAGUCUCUCUCUAUGUUUCUUAAAUGUAUUAUUUUAUUUUUUAAAUGCGAACUAACCGGGAAUAUAUUGCGACAAAUUGAUGCAAAUAUGGUGAAUGAAGGAAGCUGUUGUUUUUGAGCGAAGAGUGGGAGCGGUUAUUCUCUAAAGCACCCAUAAGUUGUGAACUUGGAUGAAGUAUUCUUCAGCAG